This 484-nucleotide ribosomal RNA is filed under the name uncultured bacterium. Its description in RNAcentral is "bacterial SSU rRNA". It matches the Rfam family "Bacterial small subunit ribosomal RNA", at positions 30 to 507 of the family's 1533-position model. The record is from RNAcentral.
AUUGAACGCUGGCGGCAUGCCUUACACAUGCAAGUCGAACGGUAACAGGGAGCUUGCUCCGCUGACGAGUGGCGAACGGGUGAGUAAUGUAUCGGAACGUACCAUUCAGUGGGGGAUAACGUAGCGAAAGUUACGCUAAUACCGCAUAUUCUGUGAGCAGGAAAGCAGGGGAUCGCAAGACCUUGCGCUGAUUGAGCGGCCGAUAUCAGAUUAGCUAGUUGGUGAGGUAAAGGCUCGCCAAGGCGACGAUCUGUAGCGGGUCUGAGAGGAUGAUCCGCCACACUGGAACUGAGACACGGUCCAGACUCCUACGGGAGGCAGCAGUGGGGAAUUUUGGACAAUGGGGGCAACCCUGAUCCAGCCAUGCCGCGUGAGUGAAGAAGGCCUUCGGGUUGUAAAGCUCUUUCGGCCGGGAAAAAAUCGCAUCAGUUAAUACCUGGUGUGGAUGAUGGUACCGGAAUAAGAAGCACCGGCUAACUACGUG